CCCCGCACAAGCAGCGGAGCGUGUGGUUUAAUUCGAUGUUACACGAAGAACCUUACCUGGGUUUUGACAUGCUAGUGGUAAUGAAGCGAAAGCUAAGUGACCCGCAAGGGAGCUAGCACAGGUGCUGCAUGGCUGUCGUCAGCUCGUGUCGUGAGAUGUUCGGUUAAGUCCGCUAACGAGCGCAACCCUCGCUGUGUGUUACAAGUGUCACACAGGACCGCCGGUCUUAAGCCGGAGGAAGGUGGGGAUGACGUCAAGUCAGCAUGGCCUUUAUGUCCAGGGCUACACACACGCUACAAUGGUCAGCACAAUAGGUAGCCAAGCCGCGAGGUGGAGCCAAUCCUCAAAGCUGGCCUCAGUUCAGAUUGCAGGCUGCAACCCGCCUGCAUGAAGAUGGAGUUGCUAGUAACCGCAGGUCAGCUAUACUGCGGUGAAUACGUUCCCGGGGCUU
This 451-nucleotide ribosomal RNA is filed under the name uncultured Leptolinea sp. RNAcentral's name for it is "bacterial SSU rRNA". It matches the Rfam family "Bacterial small subunit ribosomal RNA", at positions 919 to 1382 of the family's 1533-position model. Lineage: Bacteria; Bacillati; Chloroflexota; Anaerolineae; Anaerolineales; Anaerolineaceae. The record is from RNAcentral.